GCCGGCGUAGCUCAGUGGUAGAGCGUCUGAUUUGUAAUCAGGGGGUCGGGGGUUCAAAUCCCUCCGCCGGCACCA
This 75-nucleotide transfer RNA is filed under the name Paracoccus denitrificans. RNAcentral's name for it is "tRNA-Thr". It matches the Rfam family "tRNA". From Rfam's summary of the family: Transfer RNA (tRNA) molecules are approximately 80 nucleotides in length. Their secondary structure includes four short double-helical elements and three loops (D, anti-codon, and T loops). Lineage: Bacteria; Pseudomonadati; Pseudomonadota; Alphaproteobacteria; Rhodobacterales; Paracoccaceae. The record is from RNAcentral.